This 497-nucleotide ribosomal RNA is filed under the name uncultured bacterium. RNAcentral's name for it is "partial 16S ribosomal RNA". It matches the Rfam family "Bacterial small subunit ribosomal RNA", at positions 28 to 507 of the family's 1533-position model. The record is from RNAcentral.
GAUGAACGCUGGCGGCGUGCCUAAUACAUGCAAGUCGAGCGAACAGACGAGGAGCUUGCUCCUCUGACGUUAGCGGCGGACGGGUGAGUAACACGUGGAUAACCUACCUAUAAGACUGGGAUAACUUCGGGAAACCGGAGCUAAUACCGGAUAAUAUAUUGAACCGCAUGGUUCAAUAGUGAAAGACGGUUUUGCUGUCACUUAUAGAUGGAUCCGCGCCGCAUUAGAUAGUUGGUAAGGUAACGGCUUACCAAGGCAACGAUGCGUAGCCGACCUGAGAGGGUGAUCGGCCACACUGGAACUGAGACACGGACCAGACUCCUACGGGAGGCAGCAGUAGGGAAUCUUCCGCAAUGGGCGAAAGCUUGACGGAGCAACGCCGCGUGAGUGAUGAGGGUCUUCGGAUCGUAAAACUCUGUUAUUAGGGAAGAACAAAUGUGUAAGUAACUAUGCACGUCUUGACGGUACCUAAUCAGAAAGCCACGGCUAACUACGUG